RNAcentral lists this ribosomal RNA (492 nucleotides) under uncultured bacterium. RNAcentral's name for it is "partial 16S ribosomal RNA". It matches the Rfam family "Bacterial small subunit ribosomal RNA", at positions 29 to 507 of the family's 1533-position model. The record is from RNAcentral.
AGUGAACGCUGGCGGUAGGCCUAACACAUGCAAGUCGAACGGCAGCACAGUAAGAGCUUGCUCUUACGGGUGGCGAGUGGCGGACGGGUGAGGAAUACAUCGGAAUCUACUUUUUCGUGGGGGAUAACGUAGGGAAACUUACGCUAAUACCGCAUACGACCUACGGGUGAAAGCAGGGGAUCUUCGGACCUUGCGCGAUCGAAUGAGCCGAUGUCGGAUUAGCUAGUUGGCGGGGUAAAGGCCCACCAAGGCGACGAUCCGUAGCUGGUCUGAGAGGAUGGUCAGCCACACUGGAACUGAGACACGGUCCAGACUCCUACGGGAGGCAGCAGUGGGGAAUAUUGGACAAUGGGCGCAAGCCUGAUCCAGCCAUACCGCGUGGGUGAAGAAGGCCUUCGGGUUGUAAAGCCCUUUUGUUGGGAAAGAAAAGCAGCAGGUUAAUACCCCGCUGUUCUGACGGUACCCAAAGAAUAAGCACCGGCUAACUUCGUG